Molecule: ribosomal RNA, 297 nt
Filed under: uncultured archaeon
Lineage: Archaea
Description: partial 16S rRNA
Rfam family: Archaeal small subunit ribosomal RNA
Source: RNAcentral
GCGCAGCAGGCGCGAAAACUUUACAAUGCGGGAAACCGUGAUAAGGGAACUCCGAGUGCCCGUAAAAUCGGGCUGUCCAUCUGUUUAAAUAACAGGUGAAGAAAGGGCCGGGCAAGACCGGUGCCAGCCGCCGCGGUAAUACCGGCGGCUCGAGUGGUGGCCACUAUUACUGGGCUUAAAGCGUUCGUAGCUGGUCUGUUAAGUCUCUGGGGAAAUCUACUGGCUUAACCAAUAGACGUUUCAGGGAUACUGGCAGACUAGGGACCGGGAGAGGUGAGAGGUACUCCAGGGGUAGGA